This 253-nucleotide ribosomal RNA is filed under the name uncultured bacterium. RNAcentral describes it as "partial 16S ribosomal RNA". It matches the Rfam family "Bacterial small subunit ribosomal RNA", at positions 524 to 776 of the family's 1533-position model. The record is from RNAcentral.
UACGGGGGGGGCAAGCGUUGUUCGGAAUUACUGGGCGUAAAGGGCUCGUAGGCGGCCAACUAAGUCAGACGUGAAAUCCCUCGGCUUAACCGGGGAACUGCGUCUGAUACUGGAUGGCUUGAGUUUGGGAGAGGGAUGCGGAAUUCCAGGUGUAGCGGUGAAAUGCGUAGAUAUCUGGAGGAACACCGAUGGCGAAGGCAGGUCUCUGGGCUGACACUGACGCUCAUGCACGAAAGCGUGGGGAGCAAACAGG